This 987-nucleotide ribosomal RNA is filed under the name Latilactobacillus curvatus. RNAcentral describes it as "bacterial SSU rRNA". It matches the Rfam family "Bacterial small subunit ribosomal RNA", at positions 1 to 948 of the family's 1533-position model. Lineage: Bacteria; Bacillati; Bacillota; Bacilli; Lactobacillales; Lactobacillaceae. The record is from RNAcentral.
UUAAUCGAGAGUUUGAUCCUGGCUCAGGACGAACGCUGGCGGCGUGCCUAAUACAUGCAAGUCGAACGCACUCUCGUUAGAUUGAAGAAGCUUGCUUCUGAUUGAUAACAUUUGAGUGAGUGGCGGACGGGUGAGUAACACGUGGGUAACCUGCCCUAAAGUGGGGGAUAACAUUUGGAAACAGAUGCUAAUACCGCAUAAAACCUAGCACCGCAUGGUGCAAGGUUGAAAGAUGGUUUCGGCUAUCACUUUAGGAUGGACCCGCGGUGCAUUAGUUAGUUGGUGAGGUAAAGGCUCACCAAGACCGUGAUGCAUAGCCGACCUGAGAGGGUAAUCGGCCACACUGGGACUGAGACACGGCCCAGACUCCUACGGGAGGCAGCAGUAGGGAAUCUUCCACAAUGGACGAAAGUCUGAUGGAGCAACGCCGCGUGAGUGAAGAAGGUUUUCGGAUCGUAAAACUCUGUUGUUGGAGAAGAACGUAUUUGAUAGUAACUGAUCAGGUAGUGACGGUAUCCAACCAGAAAGCCACGGCUAACUACGUGCCAGCAGCCGCGGUAAUACGUAGGUGGCAAGCGUUGUCCGGAUUUAUUGGGCGUAAAGCGAGCGCAGGCGGUUUCUUAAGUCUGAUGUGAAAGCCUUCGGCUCAACCGAAGAAGUGCAUCGGAAACUGGGAAACUUGAGUGCAGAAGAGGACAGUGGAACUCCAUGUGUAGCGGUGAAAUGCGUAGAUAUAUGGAAGAACACCAGUGGCGAAGGCGGCUGUCUGGUCUGUAACUGACGCUGAGGCUCGAAAGCAUGGGUAGCAAACAGGAUUAGAUACCCUGGUAGUCCAUGCCGUAAACGAUGAGUGCUAGGUGUUGGAGGGUUUCCGCCCUUCAGUGCCGCAGCUAACGCAUUAAGCACUCCGCCUGGGGAGUACGACCGCAAGGUUGAAACUCAAAGGAAUUGACGGGGGCCCGCACAAGCGGUGGAGCAUGUGGUUUA